GAUCAUGGCUCAGGAUGAACGCUAGCUACAGGCUUAACACAUGCAAGUCGAGGGGCAUCGAGAAGUUAGCUUGCUAACUUUGUCGGCGACCGGCGCACGGGUGAGUAACGCGUAUCCAACCUUCCCCUUAGUAGGGCAUAGCCCGGCGAAAGUCGGAUUAAUACCCUAUGUUAUCCGACGAGGACAUCUGAAUUGGAUCAAAGAUUCAUCGCUAAGGGAUGGGGAUGCGUCUGAUUAGGUAGUAGGCGGGGUAACGGCCCACCUAGCCCACGAUCAGUAGGGGUUCUGAGAGGAAGGUCCCCCACAUUGGAACUGAGACACGGUCCAAACUCCUACGGGAGGCAGCAGUGAGGAAUAUUGGUCAAUGGACGAGAGUCUGAACCAGCCAAGUAGCGUGCAGGAUGACGGCCCUAUGGGUUGUAAACUCCUUUUAUCAGGGGAUAAAGUCCGCUACGUGUAGCGGUUUGCAGGUACCUGAUGAAUAAGGACCGGCUAAUUCCGUGCCAGCCGCCGC
Molecule: ribosomal RNA, 514 nt
Filed under: uncultured bacterium
Lineage: Bacteria
Description: bacterial SSU rRNA
Rfam family: Bacterial small subunit ribosomal RNA
Source: RNAcentral